AAAAAUGAAAGUACGUAUUCUUUCCUCCCCAUGUUUGUCUUCUUUAUUUACUGUUUUCUACAUUUGAUAUCAAAGUCAAUCAAGAGGGAGGGAGGGAGUGUUUGAGAGUCAAACACGUGAGGAAAAGUGUGAGUGAGAGACGGUCGUGGGAGUUCCAUUCCAUACUAGCUAGUUGCAUAAAUUUUUCUUUUGAGAUGGGUG
RNAcentral lists this long non-coding RNA (201 nucleotides) under Panax ginseng (ginseng). RNAcentral's name for it is "long non-coding RNA (PGIN_LNC007811)". The record is from RNAcentral. Lineage: Eukaryota; Viridiplantae; Streptophyta; Magnoliopsida; Apiales; Araliaceae.